AGCCGUGCGGUGAGUAUAGGACGAAUUAUUCUUUCGCCUUUUACUAAAGAAUACGUGUGCUCUCCACUUCAAGCGACAUACGCCUAUUUUUGAAAGGGUUCGUUGAAUACCCCU
Molecule: small nuclear RNA, 114 nt
Organism: Hibiscus syriacus
Lineage: Eukaryota; Viridiplantae; Streptophyta; Magnoliopsida; Malvales; Malvaceae
Product: U5 spliceosomal RNA
Exons: 1
Source: RefSeq, a predicted model, not a curated record